Molecule: unclassified non-coding RNA, 311 nt
Filed under: uncultured Archaeosporales
Lineage: Eukaryota; Fungi; Glomeromycota; Glomeromycetes; Archaeosporales
Description: sequence contains ITS2
Rfam family: 5.8S ribosomal RNA (bases 1-52)
Source: RNAcentral
AACGCAUAUUGCACUCUUUGGUAUUCCGAAGAGUAUGCCUGUUUGAGGGUCAUUUGAAAAUUAAUCUAGACUUUUUUUUUAGUCUUGGAAUAAUGAGUUUUCCGUUACCGAUAUUUGGUGAUGGUCACUCGAAAUUGAUGCUAUGGUCUUGGCUUGUAACAGACGCGUUUAUGUUUAUUUAAAUGUUCGCAACUAAUCAAGUCUUGAUGUGUUUUAGCAUGUUCAAUUUCCCCUUUUGAAAGAGGAUGAAAUCGAACAAAAUUCAUUAUAAUCGUGACCUCAAAUCAGGUAAGAGUACCCGCUGAACUUAA